AACCCAGACUCCUACGGGAGGCAGCAGUGAGGAAUAUUGGUCAAUGGCCGGAAGGCUGAACCAGCCAAGUCGCGUGAGGGAAUAAGGCCCUAUGGGUCGUAAACCUCUUUUGUCAGGGAGCAAAGGCGUCCACGUGUGGACGAGAGGAGAGUACCUGAAGAAAAAGCAUCGGCUAACUCCGUGCCAGCAGCCGCGGUAAUACGGAGGAUGCGAGCGUUAUCCGGAUUUAUUGGGUUUAAAGGGUGCGUAGGCGGAAUGCCAAGUCAGCGGUCAAAUUGCGGGGCUCAACCCCGUACUGCCGUUGAAACUGCAUCCCUUGAGUGCGCGAGAAGUAUGCGGAAUGCGUGGUGUAGCGGUGAAAUGCAUAGAUAUCACGCAGAACUCCGAUUGCGAAGGCAGCAUGCCGGCUCCACACUGACGCUGAGGCACGAAAGCGUGGGUAUCGAACAGGAUUAGAUACCCCUGUA
Molecule: ribosomal RNA, 467 nt
Filed under: uncultured bacterium
Lineage: Bacteria
Description: bacterial SSU rRNA
Rfam family: Bacterial small subunit ribosomal RNA
Source: RNAcentral